GGAUCGUCAUCUUCCUUUCUCCUAAGGAGAGAACACUGGGGUUUUUUGUUUUGAGUUCUUUGAAUUCAGCUGGUAGAAUCAGUGUUCUGUGGCUAGAAGUAAUGAUUUUCACUGGGCCAGUUUGGACUCUGAAGAGUAAUGUAUUUAAGGAUCUUUCAUGCAAAGUGAAUGAUUCUAGCCACAUUCCCACCUAGAAAACACCACAGUAUCCUCAGGCCCAGGGCACUGGCCUCUCAGGGGCACUGGAUGGUUUGUGCCGGGAUUUAAAAAGUGACAUUUUCUUUCUCUUUAAGCAACUUAUUUUCAACUCUCUCACCAACUGCCUGGGGCCCCGGAAGCUCUUGCACAGUGGGAAAUUAUACAAGACCAAGAGCAACAAGGAACUGCACGGAUUCCUCUUCAAUGACUUCCUGCUUCUUACCUACAUGGUCAGGCAGUUUGCUGUUUCCUCUGGCUCUGAGAAACUUUUCAGCUCGAAGUCCAGUGCUCAAUUCAAAAUGUAUAAAACGCCCAUUUUCCUGAAUGAAGUCUUGGUGAAACUGCCCACAGACCCUUCCAGCGAUGAGCCUGUCUUCCACAUUUCCCACAUUGAUCGGGUCUACACCCUCCGAACAGACAACAUUAAUGAGAGGACCGCCUGGGUGCAGAAGAUCAAGGCGGCAUCUGAGCAGUACAUCGACACUGAGAAGAAGAAGCGCGAGAAAGCUUACCAAGCCCGCUCCCAAAAGACUUCAGGCAUCGGGCGC
This 746-nucleotide small RNA is filed under the name Pongo abelii (Sumatran orangutan). RNAcentral's name for it is "retained intron". Lineage: Eukaryota; Metazoa; Chordata; Mammalia; Primates; Hominidae. The record is from RNAcentral.